RNAcentral lists this long non-coding RNA (306 nucleotides) under Ananas comosus (pineapple). RNAcentral describes it as "long non-coding RNA (ACOM_LNC025590)". The record is from RNAcentral. Lineage: Eukaryota; Viridiplantae; Streptophyta; Magnoliopsida; Poales; Bromeliaceae.
GUGGUUUUCUACCCUCGAGGUAGUCGGUUUUCAAAAUAGAGUUUCCGUGUGGGAAACAGUUUUAAAAAGGUUUUCGAAUGGUUUUUAUGAAUGAUUGAAUUAGAGUUUAAAAACAAAAGCUUCCGUGUGGGGAGCACUUUUAAAUAGAUGAUUGUUGUAUCUUGCAUUGCAUAUCCAGCGCCUAAGGAGUCUUAGAGGCAUGCAUCAUUCUAAGGAUUGUUAGCUGUAUGGGAUUGCAUAUCAUGCCUUGGUUGUUGAUUGGUAAAUGUAGGUUGUGGUUGUGAUCCUAUUGUAUCGUUGGUACGC